This 496-nucleotide ribosomal RNA is filed under the name uncultured bacterium. RNAcentral's name for it is "partial 16S ribosomal RNA". It matches the Rfam family "Bacterial small subunit ribosomal RNA", at positions 28 to 506 of the family's 1533-position model. The record is from RNAcentral.
GAUGAACGCUGGCGGCGUGCCUAAUACAUGCAAGUCGAGCGAACAGACGAGGAGCUUGCUCCUUUGACGUUAGCGGCGGACGGGUGAGUAACACGUAGGUAACCUACCUAUAAGACUGGGAUAACUUCGGGAAACCGGAGCUAAUACCGGAUAAUAUUUCGAACCGCAUGGUUCGAUAGUGAAAGAUGGCUUUGCUAUCACUUAUAGAUGGACCUGCGCCGUAUUAGCUAGUUGGUAAGGUAACGGCUUACCAAGGCAACGAUACGUAGCCGACCUGAGAGGGUGAUCGGCCACACUGGAACUGAGACACGGUCCAGACUCCGACGGGAGGCAGCAGUAGGGAAUCUUCCGCAAUGGGCGAAAGCCUGACGGAGCAACGCCGCGUGAGUGAUGAAGGUCUUCGGAUCGUAAAACUCUGUUAUUAGGGAAGAACAAACGUGUAAGUAACGGUGCACGUCUUGACGGUACCUAAUCAGAAAGCCACGGCUAACUACGU